GGACUACCGGGGUAUCUAAUCCCAUUCGCUCCCCACGCUUUCGUCCUAGCAGUGUCAAGAGGCACCCAGAAGCCUGCCUUCGCUAUUGGUGUUCCAAACGAUAUCAACGCAUUUCACUACUACACCGUUUGUUCCAGCUUCCUCUUUGCCCUUCAAGUUUACAAGUAUCAAAAGACAGUCUCCCAGUUAAGCUGAGAGAUUUCACUUCUGACUUUGUAAACCACCGAUCGGUACGCUUUACGCCCAAUGAUUCCGGAUAACGCUUGAGGUCUCUGUAUUACCGCGGCGGCUGGCAC
RNAcentral lists this ribosomal RNA (296 nucleotides) under uncultured bacterium. RNAcentral's name for it is "partial 16S ribosomal RNA". The record is from RNAcentral.